AUAUAGAAAAUAGAAGUA
Molecule: small RNA, 18 nt
Filed under: Arabidopsis thaliana (thale cress)
Lineage: Eukaryota; Viridiplantae; Streptophyta; Magnoliopsida; Brassicales; Brassicaceae
Description: ATSL102810
Source: RNAcentral